AGUGAACGCUGGCGGUAGGCCUAACACAUGCAAGUCGAACGGCAGCACAGUAAGAGCUUGCUCUUACGGGUGGCGAGUGGCGGACGGGUGAGGAAUACAUCGGAAUCUACUUUUUCGUGGGGGAUAACGUAGGGAAACUUACGCUAAUACCGCAUACGACCUACGGGUGAAAGCAGGGGAUCUUCGGACCUUGCGCGAUUGAAUGAGCCGAUGUCGGAUUAGCUAGUUGGCGGGGUAAAGGCCCACCAAGGCGACGAUCCGUAGCUGGUCUGAGAGGAUGAUCAGCCACAGUGGAACUGAGACACGGUCCAGACUCCUACGGGAGGCAGCAGUGGGGAAUAUUGGACACUGGGCGCAAGCCUGAUCCAGCCAUACCGCGUGGGUGAAGAAGGCCUUCGGGUUGUAAAGCCCUUUUGUUGGGAAAGAAAAGCAGCAGGUUAAUACCCCGCUGUUCUGACGGAACCCAAAGAAUAAGCACCGGCUAACUUCGU
This 491-nucleotide ribosomal RNA is filed under the name uncultured bacterium. RNAcentral's name for it is "partial 16S ribosomal RNA". It matches the Rfam family "Bacterial small subunit ribosomal RNA", at positions 29 to 506 of the family's 1533-position model. The record is from RNAcentral.